GACGAACGCUGGCGGUGUGCUUAACACAUGCAAGUCGAACGGUAAGGCCCUUUCGGGGGUACACGAGUGGCGCACGGGUGAGUAACACGUGAGUAACCUGCCCUCAUCUCUGGGAUAACAGUCGGAAACGGUUGCUAAUACUGGAUAUGAGCUUGCAAGGCAUCUUGUGGGUUGGAAAGAUUUUUUUUGGUUGGGGAUGGACUCGCGGCCUAUCAGCUUGUUGGGGUGGUAGUGGCUCACCAAGGCUUCGACGGGUAGCCGGCCUGAGAGGGCGACCGGCCACAUUGGGAGUGAGAUACGGCCCAAACUCCUACGGGAGGCAGCAGUGGGGAAUAUUGCACAAUGGACGGAAGUCUGAUGCAGCAACGCCGCGUGCGGGAUGACGGCCUUCGGGUUGUAAACCGCUUUCAAUUGUGACGAAGCUUUUUUGUGACGGUAGCAGUAGAAGAAGCACCGGCUAACUACGUG
RNAcentral lists this ribosomal RNA (468 nucleotides) under uncultured bacterium. RNAcentral describes it as "partial 16S ribosomal RNA". It matches the Rfam family "Bacterial small subunit ribosomal RNA", at positions 28 to 507 of the family's 1533-position model. The record is from RNAcentral.